GCGCCGGAGUCGGUUCAAUGUGUCAUGGAGGUGACGGAGAAGUUGGAGGUCAGUGGCUGCAGCGUGUGUUUGAUGUCGAGCGCCGUGCGAGGGUCCCGCAGCGCCGGAGUCGGUUCAAUGUGUCAUGGAGGUGACGGAGAAGUUGGAGGUCAGUGGCUGCAGCGUGUGUUUGAUGUCGAGCGCCGUGCGAGGGUCCCGCAGCGCCGGAGUCGGUUCAAUGUGUCAUGGAGGUGACGGAGAAGUUGGAGGUCAGUGGCUGCAGCGUGUGUUUGAUGUCGAGCGCCGUGCGAGGGUCCCGCAGCGCCGGAGUCGGUUCAAUGUGUCAUGGAGGUGACGGAGAAGUUGGAGGUCAGUGGCUGCAGCGUGUGUUUGAUGUCGAGCGCCGUGCGAGGGUCCCGCAGCGCCGGAGUCGGUUCAAUGUGUCAUGGAGGUGACGGAGAAGUUGGAGGUCAGUGGCUGCAGCGUGUGUUUGAUGUCGAGCGCCGUGCGAGGGUCCCGCAGCGCCGGAGUCGGUUCAAUGUGUCAUGGAGGUGACGGAGAAGUUGGACGUCAGUGGCUGCAGCGUGUGUUUGAUGUCGAGCGCCGUGCGAGGGUCCCGCAGCGCCGGAGUCGGUUCAAUGUGUCAUGGAGGUGACGGAGAAGUUGGAGGUCAGUGGCUGCAGCGUGUGUUUGAUGUCGAGCGCCGUGCGAGGGUCCCGCAGCGCCGGAGUCGGUUCAAUGUGUCAUGGAGGUGACGGAGAAGUUGGAGGUCAGUGGCUGCAGCGUGUGUUUGAUGUCGAGCGCCGUGCGAGGGUCCCGCAGCGCCGGAAUCGGUUCAA
Leptidea sinapis is the source of this 818-nucleotide long non-coding RNA. RefSeq lists it as uncharacterized. The record is from RefSeq and is a predicted model, not a curated record. The transcript is spliced from 4 exons. Lineage: Eukaryota; Metazoa; Arthropoda; Insecta; Lepidoptera; Pieridae.